UAUGAACAUGGUAAGAGCUGUAAAACAAAAGGAGUUACAUAUGGCGAAAGAUUUGAUAGUGUCUUAAAACUUAUUUGUUGAUGAAGCAGAGAUUCAAAGCAUUGUUGAUGUAGUUGUGUGUCUAAAUCAGAGGUCCUGUGGAGUGAAGAAGAGCAAACAAUCUGAUCAUGAGUGGAAUAAUAAUAUUGAAAGAAUAUGUAUUCUGCAAAGAUAAAAAUAUACCAAUAAUGUAUUAACAAUGUAGUUGUUAUUAAUCAAAGAACAUCAAUUUGAAGAGAAAACCUUACCCACAAUUUGAAAAGAAUAUUCACACUUGGUUGUGGACAUUAUAGCAGCCAUUUCUUUGUUUCUUCAUAACUAAUGAAGAUGAUAUUAUAACUGAACAAAAAUGGUAAAACAAUGCACUCAACAAACAAAACCUACUGGAGGGGCAUUUAGUGAUUGGCUAAGGAAGCUGUUUUAAAUGUAUUUCUACAAACUACAGUUUGAUUUCAGCUUCAAACCAAUACAGUAAACUCAAUAUGAUGCUAGGAGUGAUGCAUCAUUUGAAAUCCAGCCUUAGCCAAGACCAAAAAUGCAAAAACAAAACUGUUUUUAAGAGUUGAAAAGAAAAACAAAAAUUUUCAUUAUUUUCACUAAGCUACAACAUCUGUCAAGGAUGACAUUCAAUUCAUAUUUGUCAUGAUGGAAAACAGUUGUUCUAAUUGGAACAAUGAUAAUACCAAUUAACACUGCCACAUCAUAGAUCACAUGCAACUCCUUUUUUUUAAUAAAAAAAAGCCGCAAACUUAAUGCAGCCCUAGUCCAAAACCAAAAAUAAUCCCACUAUUCCGCUCUAUGCAAUGGAAAAAGUAUAAUUGGUUUGCAAUGAAAGACAAACAACCAAAUCAAUGACUAAGGGAAUUAAAAUACAAUCUCCAUAUUAAACAAAAAAAAAAAAAAAAACUUCAUACAGCAGACCAAAAUGAAAAACCAGACUAUCUUUAAGAGUUGCAAAGAAGGAGAUUGUCAAAGAUGACAUUCAAUCCAAAUUUAGCCAUGUUGGAAAACUAUUGUUCUCAAGGAAUGAAUAGGUUUGACGGAUAUCAGAUCUAAAAGAAUGAUCAAAAUAACAUCAAUAACAUAACUCUACUUUGAUAUGGUGAAGGUAUACAUAUGCCUCAAAACAUCAGCAGUAUGCUCUGGUAUAACUAUUCCUAAACCCCCUUUUUUCUUUGGAAAAAGGAAUAUAUCAAUGAGCUAAAAUAAGGUAAAGAUGAAACGAAUACCAAAGAAAUCAUGCAUUAAAAUCAUACUUUCAUCCUAAAAAAGACACAAACUUAACUGUCGCGUUAGCUCAGCAAAACGAAUACCUAAGAAAUCAAUCUUCACAGGAACCAAACAGAAAAUUAUUUUCGUAACCCACCACUACCACACCACACCACUGGUAAGAUUUCUCAACAUAUGCAAUUCAAAACAGAAAAAAUAGCACCACGUGCAAGGACAAAAUGUGGAAGGCAAUGCAAAACAGUCCUAUGCUAUGCCAUGGGAAAAAGAGCCAGAUGUGAGCCAUGGCAGAAGAAAUGGGUGUUAAUAAGAGAACUGAGAAAGAAGUAAAAAAAAUAAUAACCAAGAAUGUGAAGGCAUCAAUCGGUAAAUUUUAUAGACAGCACAACACCAAAUAUCACAGAUAAAUUCUAAAAAGGAGAAGAAGAAUAGUCUGGCACAUAAGGAACUGGAAGUGAUAAAUAAACAGAACUGGAUAAGAAAUAGGGAUUUAGAGCUUGUAACAAUAGAAAUUUAUAUAAACGACAGACAGAGGUUUCAAACUAAGAAACAACCCAUAC
Molecule: long non-coding RNA, 1826 nt
Filed under: Populus tremula
Lineage: Eukaryota; Viridiplantae; Streptophyta; Magnoliopsida; Malpighiales; Salicaceae
Description: long non-coding RNA (PTRE_LNC000429)
Source: RNAcentral